GGCAGGUUGCUCUCCCGCGGCGGUGAAGCGAAGGACUGACACCGGCCGUGAGGGGGAAUUAAAGGGAAAACCGGUUUCCUGCCGUUUCGCGGCCUACCUGCCGGCCGCGGGCGGCCAUGGCGGGCGGCGCUUUCCGCUCCAGCCGCUCCCUUACGGGCCCCUGACAAAGGGAAGCGAGGGUUUGUUUGGCUGCAGACCUCUCACAGCACCAGGUAGCCUCUUGUUCCUGGCACCUGCUCUUCGCCCUCCCUCGCCCACGUUUACUUUAGCUCAAGGAGAGGGAAAGUUUACUUUUCCAGUUGCGACCACUUGCUUCGGAGGCUUGUGCCUGGCUCCCUUCCCUAGCGCUAGGAGACACGGUUAUUUUUCAUAUUUCUGGCAUCAGUUUAUCACCCGGCUACGGUUUGACUUUUUCAGUCAGCUUUAAUUACACACAGCUGUCAACAACUGGCAAAACAAAUGGAAAAAACCUGCCAAAACAACCACCACCAUACAAAAAAACUAACUGCGUGUGGGAUAUUUAACUCUUCCACAGGUGUUUGGAAGAAUCUAGAAAGAGCAGCUAAAAUGUGAGUGACCAUGUUAGUAAGUUAAUUUCUGUACCUCGGGUGUAGUUGCUUUUUUCUUUUUUAAAGAGGCAGGAGAAGAGCCGGGCUGCACCAUCAGCAAGUUCAUAGAUUACGCCGCCACAGUGGCCGAUACCCCCGGGGGUCGCGCUGCCAUCCAGAGGGGCUCCAGCAGGCAGGAGAGUUGGUUUAACAGGAACCCGAUGAAGUUGAGUGACGCAGCUGGCCCUGGCACCGGGCUCUGGCCCGUCCUGCUUGGGCAGGAGAAGCUGGUCUCUUCCCACCUGGACACUUCGUGGUUCUGAGCACAGACCUCUGCAUUCCAGAGCAGGGGAGGUGUCCUGGUUUCAGCUGGGAUAGAGUUAAUUUUCUUCUUAGAAGCUGGUGCAGGGCUGUGUUUUGGCUCUGAUGCGAGAGCAGUUACACCGAUGGUUUUGGUUGUUACCAGAUGCUGAUGCUCACGGACAGAUGAUGACUGCAUGCCCACACAGACUGACAGUUCAGACAUUAAAAAAAGCCGUUAACCACAGAUACCACAAUGAGCAAACACAACCUGGAGCGAGCAGGCGCCUUGCUGCUGAGUUCAUACAUGGGGCUACGAUGUCUUAGUUUUCUCUUAAACGUCUCAUCUGUCAAACUCGUCUUCAGUUUCAAGUAUAUUGCAGUACAUUCACACUGAGGCAGCACUGAACAGUUUAACAUGUUCUUUCAAAUCUGUGAAGCUUCUAUUUUCAUACAAAAUUGCUGUGGGAGCAGGCUGUAGAUCAGAUUCUUAUGCCACUUAAUAAAAAAGAAGAAAUAAUGACACUUA
Falco peregrinus (peregrine falcon) is the source of this 1377-nucleotide long non-coding RNA. RefSeq lists it as uncharacterized. NCBI's taxonomy places the organism in Eukaryota, Metazoa, Chordata, Aves, Falconiformes, Falconidae. The transcript is spliced from 2 exons. The record is from RefSeq and is a predicted model, not a curated record.